Molecule: ribosomal RNA, 225 nt
Filed under: uncultured bacterium
Lineage: Bacteria
Description: partial 16S ribosomal RNA
Rfam family: Bacterial small subunit ribosomal RNA
Source: RNAcentral
GAUCAUGGCUCAGGAUGAACGCUAGCUACAGGCUUAACACAUGCAAGUCGAGGGGCAGCAUGGUCUUAGCUUGCUAAGGCCGAUGGCGACCGGCGCACGGGUGAGUAACACGUAUCCAACCUGCCGUCUACUCUUGGACAGCCUUCUGAAAGGAAGAUUAAUACAAGAUGGCAUCAUGAGUCCGCAUGUUCACAUGGUUAAAGGUAUUCCGGUAGGCGAUGGGGA